CCUACGGGAGGCAGCAGUGAGGAAUAUUGGUCAAUGGACGAGAGUCUGAACCAGCCAAGUAGCGUGAAGGAUGACUGCCCUAUGGGUUGUAAACUUCUUUUAUAAAGGAAUAAAACGAGGCACGUAUGCCUUUUUGCAUGUACUUUAUGAAUAAGGAUCGGCUAACCCCGUGCCAGCAGCCGCGGUAAUACGGAGGAUCCGAGCGUUAUCCGGAUUUAUUGGGUUUAAAGGGAGCGUAGAUGGGUUGUUAAGUCAGUUGUGAAAGUUUGCGGCUCAACCGUAAAAUUGCAAUUGAUACUGGCAGUCUUGAGUACAGGUGAGGUAGGCGGAAUGCGUGGUGUAGCAGUGAAAUGCUUAGAUAUCACGAAGAACCCCGAUUGCGAAGGCAGCUUACUAAACUGUGACUGACAUUGAUGCUCGAAAGUGUGGGUAUCAAACAGGAUUAGAUACCCGUGUAGUC
RNAcentral lists this ribosomal RNA (460 nucleotides) under uncultured bacterium. Its description in RNAcentral is "partial 16S ribosomal RNA". It matches the Rfam family "Bacterial small subunit ribosomal RNA", at positions 338 to 795 of the family's 1533-position model. The record is from RNAcentral.